This 410-nucleotide ribosomal RNA is filed under the name Dermatinus sp. SS-2014. RNAcentral describes it as "SSU rRNA". It matches the Rfam family "Eukaryotic small subunit ribosomal RNA", at positions 546 to 874 of the family's 1831-position model. Lineage: Eukaryota; Metazoa; Arthropoda; Insecta; Hemiptera; Pyrrhocoridae. The record is from RNAcentral.
UAUUGGAGGGCAAGUCUGGUGCCAGCAGCCGCGGUAAUUCCAGCUCCAAUAGCGUAUAUUAAAGUUGUUGCGGUUAAAAAGCUCGUAGUUGGUUCUGCGUGCCACGCUGUCGGUUCACCGCCUGUCGGUGCAACUGGCAUGCCGUGGCAUGUCCUGUCGGUGGCGUACAGGCUUCGCGGCGAUCCCUACACGAUACGUCGCGUAGGCCGUCGCGUCGUACCUGUGCGCCGACUCAAUCCUACCGCGGUGCUCUUCAUCGAGUGUCGAGGUAGGCCGACACAUUUUACUUUGAACAAAUUAGAGUGCUUAAAGCAGGCUCUUAAAUCAGCCUGAAUAAUGGUGCAUGGAAUAAUGGAACAGGACCUUGGUUCUAUUUUGUUGGUUUUAGGAAUCCAAGGUAAUGAUCAAUA